AGCAGACUUAGCAUUAUUUUAAGUGUGAUCCCCCACUUUGUGCGUCUCUGAAAAAUUACCGUAUUUAACAUGCGGAUUUCACAUCAAUUGCAGACUAAUCUUUCUCUUUCCUAUUAACUUUACCUUUUCUAUUUCUCUUUCUUCCCAAUCUCUCUCUUUCUUUGUAACUUUACCUUUUCUCUUUCUCUUUUUUCUUUCAAAUCUCUCAAAUUUCACUUUCAAAUUUUUUUUUCCUCACAUUUUUCUCAUAUUUUUUAUAAGGAUUGUGAUCCACAAAAUCAGAUAACUAUUAAAUUCAGUUAUUGCAUGUUAUCUAUUUAACAAUUUUUUUUAUAUAUAUUUUGUACUAUAAAUCAUUAUCAAGAUCGUUUUUGAGUUGAUAUAGUUGAAAACAUUGAAUUUUGGUUAAGAAUUGAAAUUGAAUUUUGUUUUGUUGUGAUUAAUGGAGGAUAAUCAGAGUUGAAUGGAUAUUGUAGAUGAUUUUGGGUUGAUUUAUUGUUGAUAUCUUUUUUUCAAUUGUUUUUCAGUGAAUUUUUUUUUUUUAUAUGAGUUGAUAUAGUUGAAAAAAUUGAUUUUGGAUGAGAAUUGGAACUGAAUUUUGUUUUGUUGCAAUUAAUGAAAGAUAAUCGGAGUUGAAUGAAUAUUGUAGAUGAUUUUGGGUUGAUUUGUUGUUGAAGAAGACAUGGAGGAAGAAGUAUUUUUUUGUAUAAGUAUUUUUAUUUACUGUUAUAUAUUUAGGGAUUUCAGUAAAGUUGUUAUCAAUUUUGGGUAAUAUGUAGUUUUUUUGUAAAGCUAAUAUAUAUUUACUGAUUAACUGAUAUGUAUUUAGGGAUUUCAGUAAAGCUGAUUUGUGAAGAUGAUAGGAUAAAUAUACAUUUUGGGUUAACAUAUUUUUAUUUGUAUUUUUUAUAAAACUGCUAUGUUUAGUUGUAUUUGUAUGUUAAAUGAAUUUGCUAAGUUGGAUGUUUGAAAUUUAUUAUACUUGAUAUUUAUUUUCAGUAUAUUAGAAUGUUGAAAUAUACAAAUACAUUCGUGGUUAUGGACGUAUUUGUAUCUGUUGAAAUACAAAUAUAUUUUUAAAUAAUUUUUUAAUACAAUGUAUGUAGAUUUGCCAUAUAUACAAAUGACUGCUAAAUAUACAUUUAAGGUAUAUGAUGUAGUUUGUAUGUUUUAUAGAUACAUAUGCACUUUUAUUUGUAUUUUUGUUAGGUUCAAAAUACAUUUUAAGGUAUAGAAAAACAUUUGUGUUUUGAUACAUACAUAUCAAAUUUCAUAUGUAUUUUGCUUUAGUGAUGAUUUUGUGUUUUUGCUUUGUUCAAAUAUACAUAUGCAUAUUUAUAUGUAUUUUUGGAUGUGUUGAUUGUGUUUUAUCAUUUUUUACAGUUUAAUAAGGUGUAGUUUUACUUUGUAUAGGUACCGCGUGAUGAAAUAUUUAUUAUAAGAAAUUUCCUAGUUCGCACCACAUAUGUGCUGCUACAGUGAUAAUGAUAUUGAGAAAAAUUUACAAUUUAUAUUGGUGUGAAAUAUUGAUGUGUUAUUUGUAGAGGAUUUGUAAGUUUGUACAAAAUAUAUUUUAAUUAUUAUUCAAUGAUUUUUGUAGGAAUUGUGGUUUGUAUAUGGUUACAUACGCAGAGUGCCUUUCGUAUGGUCAAGGCAUUCCUUCAGUUGAGUUCAAUCCCAACGUAUUUCGUACAAGAUAUGCUUCACUAUUGUAAAAUUACAUCAUGAGGAAAAAAGAAGCAAAAGCUCAAAGUGACGACGAAGCAUCAUUGAGGCCUGUUAGAAAAAGUAAGAUAACUAGUGUCACAGAAGUAUUAGAAGUCUGAUGGUUGAUGAUUUUAUUACAUUGUAUAAUUGACAAGAUUUAACUUGAUAUUGAUAUUAAUUGUAGAAACUUAUUUUAUGUUUUGAAGUGAAUCAAACUUACUUAUUUUUGAAGUGAAUGAAAGUAAUUCACUUUAAUCUUUUAUGUUGAAUAUGUUUUCAAUAAUUUUGUAGUCUAUGUUUUAUUUCACUGUUUA
Molecule: long non-coding RNA, 2021 nt
Filed under: Capsicum annuum
Lineage: Eukaryota; Viridiplantae; Streptophyta; Magnoliopsida; Solanales; Solanaceae
Description: long non-coding RNA (CANN_LNC003602)
Source: RNAcentral